This 915-nucleotide long non-coding RNA is filed under the name Amphibalanus amphitrite. RNAcentral describes it as "uncharacterized LOC122377960". Lineage: Eukaryota; Metazoa; Arthropoda; Thecostraca; Balanomorpha; Balanidae. The record is from RNAcentral.
UUUGUAACCACUUUACACCACUUUCUAGACUAAUUGUACCACCUUUAACCGAAAAUUCAGAGUAAAAAGAUGACUAGGUGCAUUUUUACUCAACUUAGGUGUAAUUUAUACAGUACUUUAGGCUUUUCUUGCAACUAUGGUGUAAUUUCAUGUUCUUAUGUUUUUACACCUCAGCCUUUUGGUAGUAAAAUUAUUACCCAAGGGUAGUUUGAAUCUCAUGCGGAUAAUAAAUGGCUAGUUGGUAGCAUAAAUUUACACUAGCGUGGCUCAGCUGAUUACCGCAAAACCUAAAUGGAGUAAAUUUACACCGUGGGCUUGAUGAGCGAUGGAUUGUUAGGUGUGGUUUUAUGCUACAUGGUUAUUUCACUCUUCAAGGAUAUAUUUUUACAGCUUGGAGCGUUAUUUUACAACAGUGUUCCACGUGGCCAUUUUAACCGCCAUUUUGAAUCGCCAUUUGCAUGGUGAACUGUGAAGCGUGGGGUGGCGUGGAUGAAGCGCGGCAGUUCCCUAUACACCGUGCAUACUGCAUAUAUCGUGAAGCGAGGCCUCCGGUGCGGCGAAGCAUGCAGUGUCUGCUAGACGACCAAAACUGCGGCAAGCAGUGAACAACAAAGUCGUGGCACGACCUGACCCCUGAUUAUGGGGACUAGUGAGGAGCCAAAUGAGUUAAAGGAAAGAGUCGUCAAGAACAUCCAGCAAGUGUGUGACGAACUGGUGGCGCUACUCGCCUACGGACGCUGGGCGAUCUCAAGAACGAGCAGAGCUCCGUGAGUGUUCACUUCUUCAGUCGUCCCGCCUCAGCGUUCAGGGAGCACUGGGCCACUUUAAGCUGUCAAAGUCAAAGGUCGGUGAAGUUGCCACAAUCCUUGCAGCCCAUGCCCCCAUGUUUUGUCUUCCGUUCCGUGGACCAUGCAA